Molecule: long non-coding RNA, 610 nt
Organism: Corticium candelabrum
Lineage: Eukaryota; Metazoa; Porifera; Homoscleromorpha; Homosclerophorida; Plakinidae
Exons: 3
Source: RefSeq, a predicted model, not a curated record
UUGCUGUCAGACCGUCUGUUCGUGCUUCUACCAACUUGGUUCAAGCACAGGACACAGAGACGCCAAAUUUCCUUGGAGUUGUAAAGGGAUGACAUCUGACGUGUGCUUUAGGAGCAUCUUCUGCGUGCAGUUUGGCAUGGGAAUGGUCUGCUAACCACAUAAAUCAGGAAUUGAGUAUAGCAAUUGAGUUUUAGAGCAGCAGUUGAAAAAAUUCUUGGACAUGUGAAGAAGAUUGCAUAUAUUUGGAAGGUUGGAUCAAUGAAUGGCAUGUCAAAGUAGUGUCCAGCAAAAUCAUGCCACUAUUCAAGCUGCUAGUGCAACAGCUGUGACAUUUGUUUGCCAGUUUACGAUGCUGUAUAAUUCAAUUCUAACCAGUUAUAGUCAUUACCGGUUGGAUAUAAUAAUAUAAAUACACACACACACACACACACACACACACACACACACACACACACACACACACACACACACACACACACACACACACACACACACACCACAUGUAUAAUAAGCUAGUGUAUACUGAGCACUGAUAACAAUCUGUGGCAUAUCAGUACUGAGUAGCAAGUCAAAUAACAACCAGUUUGUAGUUGUGUGUGUACAAUGUUGC